AUGCUUUACUAUACGCACAAUGAACUCAGUGCAGAUCGGUUUAGUCACCGUGCUGAGAGUACAUGGAUAUCGCCUUGUGUAAAUUGGGAUACUGGUUUGCAGUAAGGUUCGAAAGAUCGUGAGGUCUAUCAGAAUACCGGGCAAAGUCCUAAAGAUAAGUGUAUGUACUAAUUGUAGAUGUAGUAAAUUGUUCAAAUCCGGUCGCAGCAAUAAUAGAGAGCCGCUCUGCGGUGCUGAAGCCUGAUGCCUAUAGUUUGGUACUCUAUAGGAGUUAAGUAAGGUAAUACCAACAUAAGCUGUUUGUCGUGAUGAUUUAGAAAUGAAUCGUAUAAGACCGGUUAUUGGAUCGAGUAGCCCAAGACAAUUAAUUAUUCUAAUCAAAUUAUAGCUAUGGUCUAUAAGUACAAGAAUAUUGGUCAUACUGAAUGAUGGGUGAAAGUUGUGAGUGAAGAAUCUCGCCGAUGGUUGUGGAGUGAUCCACUGGGCAAAAAGCGUAUGAGCGACGGUUCAUAUGCUCAGUUUUGUCUACAUCGUGACAGAAUAUUAUGGGUCUAUGAUUGGCAAUCCGAAGGGAUCAUUGUGCUUAUAAUAAAGC
This 595-nucleotide non-coding RNA is filed under the name unclassified sequences. Its description in RNAcentral is "ROOL RNA". It matches the Rfam family "ROOL RNA". Rfam says of the family: Firmicutes, Fusobacteria (1 example), Tenericutes (1 example). Environment (Cow rumen (57)) The record is from Rfam by way of RNAcentral.